GACGAACGCUGGCGGCGUGCUUAACACAUGCAAGUCGAACGGAAAGGCCCUGCUUUUGUGGGGUGCUCGAGUGGCGAACGGGUGAGUAACACGUGAGUAACCUGCCCUUGACUUUGGGAUAACUUCAGGAAACUGGGGCUAAUACCGGAUAGGAGCUCCUGCUGCAUGGUGGGGGUUGGAAAGUUUCGGCGGUUGGGGAUGGACUCGCGGCUUAUCAGCUUGUUGGUGGGGUAGUGGCUUACCAAGGCUUUGACGGGUAGCCGGCCUGAGAGGGUGACCGGCCACAUUGGGACUGAGAUACGGCCCAGACUCCUACGGGAGGCAGCAGUGGGGAAUAUUGCACAAUGGGCGGAAGCCUGAUGCAGCAACGCCGCGUGCGGGGUGACGGCCUUCGGGUUGUAAACCGCUUUCGCCUGUGACGAAGCGUGAGUGACGGUAAUGGGUAAAGAAGCACCGGCUAACUACGUGCCAGCAGCCGCGGUGAUACGUAGGGUGCGAGCGUUGUCCGGAUUUAUUGGGCGUAAAGGGCUCGUAGGUGGUUGAUCGCGUCGGAAGUGUAAUCUUGGGGCUUAACCCUGAGCGUGCUUUCGAUACGGGUUGACUUGAGGAAGGUAGGGGAGAAUGGAAUUCCUGGUGGAGCGGUGGAAUGCGCAGAUAUCAGGAGGAACACCAGUGGCGAAGGCGGUUCUCUGGGCCUUUCCUGACGCUGAGGAGCGAAAGCGUGGGGAGCGAACAGGCUUAGAUACCCUGGUAGUCCACGCUGUAAACGGUGGGUACUAGGUGUGGGGUCCAUUCCACGGGUUCCGUGCCGUAGCUAACGCUUUAAGUACCCCGCCUGGGGAGUACGGCCGCAAGGCUAAAACUCAAAGGAAUUGACGGGGCCCCGCACAAGCGGCGGAGCAUGCGGAUUAAUUCGAUGCAACGCGUAGAACCUUACCUGGGUUUGACAUGGAUCGGGAGUGCUCAGAGAUGGGUGUGCCUCUUUUGGGGUCGGUUCACAGGUGGUGCAUGCCUGUCGUCAGCUCGUGUCGUGAGAUGUUGGGUUAAGUCCCGCAACGAGCGCAACCCUUGUUCACUGUUGCCAGCACGUUAUGGUGGGGACUCAGUGGAGACCGCCGGGGUCAACUCGGAGGAAGGUGGGGAUGACGUCAAGUCAUCAUGCCCCUUAUGUCCAGGGCUUCACGCAUGCUACAAUGGCUGGUACAGAGAGUGGCGAGCCUGUGAGGGUGAGCGAAUCUCGGAAAGCCGGUCUCAGUUCGGAUUGGGGUCUGCAACUCGACCUCAUGAAGUCGGAGUCGCUAGUAAUCGCAGAUCAGCAACGCUGCGGUGAAUACGUUCCCGGGGCU
RNAcentral lists this ribosomal RNA (1346 nucleotides) under uncultured bacterium. Its description in RNAcentral is "partial 16S ribosomal RNA". It matches the Rfam family "Bacterial small subunit ribosomal RNA", at positions 28 to 1381 of the family's 1533-position model. The record is from RNAcentral.